AAGUCGUAACAAGGUUUCCGUAGGUGAACCUGCGGAAGGAUCAUUAUCACGUUAUCCACGUAUCAACCAUUGUGAACUAGUCUGUGACCUUUGAAUUUUUUUGAUGAAAUGUUGUUGUAAACCGUUAUCAAACAAUUAACUGAUUGGAAAUUGUUGAGGUUUAUGACAAAUCUAACAAUUAAGUUUGUUAGCAUCAUUUAAUUCAAAGUGUAUUUUUUUUCCAAUCAAAUUUCAUUAACCAUUUAAACCCAAAAUUUUUAUAAAUUUUGAACUGAUUUAAUUUCUUACUCUCGUUUAUUUCGGGAGAAGAAAUAAAUUCAUUACGAAACAUAAGAACAACUCUUAGCAACGGAUAUCUUGGUUCUCGUAACGAUGAAGAAUGCAGC
RNAcentral lists this unclassified non-coding RNA (386 nucleotides) under fungal sp. Its description in RNAcentral is "partial internal transcribed spacer region". The stretch from base 1 to 46 matches the Rfam family "Eukaryotic small subunit ribosomal RNA", at positions 1786 to 1831 of the family's 1831-position model. Lineage: Eukaryota; Fungi. The record is from RNAcentral.